CCUACGGGGGGCAGCAGUGGGGAAUAUUGGACAAUGGGGGGAACCCUGAUCCAGCGACGCCGCGUGAGUGAAGAAGUAUUUCGGUAUGUAAAGCUCUAUCAGCAGGGAAGAAAGAAAUGACGGUACCUGACUAAGAAGCCCAGGCUAACUACGUGCCAGCAGCCGCGGUAAUACGUAGGGGGCAAGCGUUAACCGGAUUUACUGGGUGUAAAGGGGGCGUAGACGGCGAUGCAAGUCUGAAGUGAAAGGCGGGGGCCCAACCUCCGGACUGCUUUGGAAACGGGAUGGCUGGAGUGCAGGAGAGGUAAGUGGAAUUCCUAGUGUAGCGGUGAAAUGCGUAGAUAUUAGGAGGAACACCAGUGGCGAAGGCGGCUUACUGGACUGUAACUGACGUUGAGGCUCGAAAGCGUGGGGAGCAAACAGGAUUAGAUACCCUUGUAGUC
RNAcentral lists this ribosomal RNA (443 nucleotides) under uncultured bacterium. RNAcentral describes it as "partial 16S ribosomal RNA". It matches the Rfam family "Bacterial small subunit ribosomal RNA", at positions 338 to 795 of the family's 1533-position model. The record is from RNAcentral.